GUGGAUUAGAUAUCCUGGUAGUCCACGCCGUAAACGAUGGAUACUAGGUGUAGGAGGUAUCGACCCCUUCUGUGCCGCAGUUAACACAAUAAGUAUCCCACCUGGGGAGUACGACCGCAAGGUUGAAACUCAAAGGAAUUGACGGGGGCCCGCACAAGCAGUGGAGUAUGUGGUUUAAUUCGAAGCAACGCGAAGAACCUUACCAGGACUUGACAUCCCUCUGACCGCUCUAGAGAUAGAGCUUUCCUUCGGGACAGGGGUGACAGGUGGUGCACGGCUGUCGUCAACU
Molecule: ribosomal RNA, 289 nt
Filed under: uncultured bacterium
Lineage: Bacteria
Description: partial 16S ribosomal RNA
Rfam family: Bacterial small subunit ribosomal RNA
Source: RNAcentral